CAGCGCCACGAGUGGCAAUCGCGAUUAUUGGGCCUAAAGCGUCCGUAGCCGGUUCGGUAAAUCCUUUGUGAAAUCGCCAAGCUUAACUUGGCGGCGUGCAGAGGACACUGCCGAACUCGAGACCGGGAGGAGUUAGAAGUAUUUUUGGGGGAGCGGUAAAAUGCUAUAAUCCCAGAAAGACUACCGAUGGCGAAGGCAUCUAACUAGAACGGAUCUGACGGUGAGGGACGAAAGCCAGGGGAGCGAACCGGAUUAGAUACCCGAGUAGUCC
RNAcentral lists this ribosomal RNA (271 nucleotides) under uncultured archaeon. Its description in RNAcentral is "partial 16S ribosomal RNA". It matches the Rfam family "Archaeal small subunit ribosomal RNA", at positions 477 to 747 of the family's 1478-position model. The record is from RNAcentral.